Molecule: small nucleolar RNA, 103 nt
Organism: Hibiscus syriacus
Lineage: Eukaryota; Viridiplantae; Streptophyta; Magnoliopsida; Malvales; Malvaceae
Product: small nucleolar RNA U19
Exons: 1
Source: RefSeq, a predicted model, not a curated record
AUUUGGCUUAGUUAGGAGGCAGAGAUGGCAUCAGGGCUUUUGAGGGGACUCUUGAAUUUUUUUCCUUCUUUCUCAAUUGUCCCCCAAGCAGCCUUGUACAUUU